Ictidomys tridecemlineatus (thirteen-lined ground squirrel) is the source of this 4096-nucleotide long non-coding RNA. RefSeq lists it as uncharacterized. Lineage: Eukaryota; Metazoa; Chordata; Mammalia; Rodentia; Sciuridae. The record is from RefSeq and is a predicted model, not a curated record.
CUUACUAAGUUGCUGAGCCUGGCUUUGAAUUCAUGAUCUGCCUGCCUCAGCCUCCUGGGAUGCUAGGAUUACAGGCGUGCACCAUCUAGACAGCAUAAUUCUAAGGUCAUCCCAGAAGGAUGAAGAAAUUUUGGAAGGUUAAGGAGUGAUUUACAUAGCUGGAAGGGAAGAUUUAUUAUAAAGUAGCAUAAUUUGGGGCUAUUGAAUAACAAUAGCCCCAAGACAGGCUUAAGUCAAUACAACUGGUAUAAAAUAAAGGCAGAAUUUAAAUGUACUCACACUCUGCUGAGGAUAUAGGAAGCUGCAGAACGCACCACUCCCACCCUAACUACAAGAAAAAUGACAAAUAGCAAAAUCGUUAAUUUUGUUGAGCCCAUGAGAUAGAUGAAGUUGUGAGGCAACCAUGUCACCUCAAGAGACAAACUCCUCUAAGGACAGAGAGCUGUGCAAACUCCUAGCCUGGCAGAGCACAAGAAGAGGGGGCACCAUGAUGCACAGGGGUGAGAGGAAACCAGUUUGAGUGCCCAGCACUGCCCAUCCACGCGCGGGUGAGAGUGUGAACCUGGAGGGGCUGAGCCACACUCGGCUGCAGACUCUUUCCCCAAGAUUUCCACAGGGUGCUCCCAAGAACUACAGAGACAGCAGGAGACUGGCUCCCCCGGGCCCACAUCCCUGGAGCCAGCAGGUAGGUGGCACUCGAAGCUUGCUGGGAGCACACAAUGCCAUGUAUUUCCCUGGAUUCCUCCCUCAUAGGAAUCAACAUCCUUAAGCCACUGCAGGUAGGUAGCAAAUUCACUCUCCCACAGAACUUGAAGAGGUCAGUGGGUAUGGAAGAGGCACAAAACCUCACUCCUUGGACAGUUUUCCCUGGACAGUAAACGAAGGCCUCAGGAGACUCGAAUGGCAAAGUAUUCCAGGGCAGACUGACAAGGAUACAAAGCUCAAAAGAUGCAUGAAAAGCAUUUGAUAAAAGUGAGCAUCCAUUUAUGGUAAAACUCAGCUAACUAAAGCUUCUCACUCUCAAAAAGGGCACCUACUAAAGACCUACAGCCAGCAUUGUGUUUAGCACUGAAAGAUUGAAUCUAAAUCGUGGUACAUUCAUGCAAGGGAAUACUAACUACUCAGCAAGAAAAAGGGUGAACUACUGAUGCACCCGGCAACAUGCAUGAAUCUCGGAAGGAUCAUGCCAGGUCAAAGGAGCCAGACUCAAAGGCUGUCUACUACAGGAUCAUGUAUGUUGAUAUUUGGGAAAAGGCAAAACUAUAGAGCAGGGAGCUGAUCAGUGGUUGUCAGGGCAAGGGGAUGGGGCAGAGGAGGGGGACAAGGGAUCAACUCCAGAAUGAUACAAGGGAACUUUUUUUUAAAAAAAAUUUUAUUAUUAGUUGUUCAAAACAUUACAUAGUUCUUGACAUAUUAUAUUUACAAGGGAACUUUUUGGAAUGAUGGAAAUAUCCUUGAAUGUGCUGGUGACUGUAAAUUGUGUAUAUUGACCAAAAUUCAAUACUCUUAAGGGACAAAAUUUUCUCUAUGUGAAUCAUAUAUUAAGAACCUUAACUUUUAAAAAUGGUUCAGAAAGAAAGUGUCAUUCUGAAUAAUGCUGAAAUUAUUGGCAAACCAUUUGGAAUACAACAACUUUACAUUUCUCUCAUGACAUAAAAAGAUGAAUUCUAAAUGGAUUAUAGAUAUGUUUGAAAAAACUAUUAAAAAAAACUUAGAAGUAAGCAGAAAAUAUAAGUGAUGAUUAUGUAGGAGAUAAAAGCAUAAAUCAAAAACAAAGAAGGGAAGAGGUUAAUGGGACAGGUUGCCAGAAGGUACAGGGGAUGCAUCCUUGAGACAGGAUCCACCGGAGUCCCCCGCUGCCCUCCCCGCCUUCUUCCUUUUCAGAGUGUGAAUGGUAGGUAGUUAUGUGGGCACUUACCAGUUAUUCAUCACACUGUAGCCCUCUGUGUGUGACCCAUAUUUUACAAUAAGGAAGAAAAAAAGAAGCUAGGGGUAGCACAUCUGUAAUCCCAGCACCUCAGGAGGCUGAGGCAGGAAGAUUGCAAGUCUGAGGCCAGGCUGGGCAACUUAGUAAGACUCUGCCUCAAAAAGGGAUGGGGGUUUGUGACUCAGUGAUAGAGCCCCCCUGGGUUCCAUCUUUGGACCACACACAAGAAAUGAAAGAGGCAAAUUUGGGGUCCACUUAUAAUUUCUUGCAUUUUACACACAGGGGUAUGUAGGCUAGGGAGGCCAAAAAUUUCUCCCAUUUCCUAGGUCAAGUUUCCAUUCCUUAUCCAUGUCCUUACAGCCAAAGCAGCUGCAUGAUUUAGCAAAAGUUAACACACUCUGAACUUUUUUCCGGGUGUGUGUGUGGUGCUGGAGAUUGACCUCCGGGCCUGGCACAUGCUAGGCAAGCAUUCUACCACUGAGCCAUCAUACACCCAUCGUUUGAAUUUUUUUUUUUUUUUUGAGACAGGGUCUCACUAAGUUGUCCAGGUUGACUUCAUACUUGGCGAUCCUCCUGUCUCAGCCUCCUGAGUAGUUGGAAUUGCAGGUGUGUACCUCCACUCCUGGCUGACUGGACUUCUAAAAAUUAAGGUGGAAUGUGUAUCAUCUAGGUGACUGAAAAAAAAAAACACCAGUGAAAUUAAAAAUAAGUCUCAUUUUGAGAACAGUGAACCGGAGCAUCACGGAGGAAGGCAGCUAACCCAGGAGAAGUGAAGGCUUCGUGCUGCUCUCAACGCUGAGUUUUCACAUGAAACCUUACGGGUUUUAAAGGUGGAGAGCAAUUGAUUAAAGGACCUUGAGCAGAUGUUGGUGAGAAUGUGGCCACAUUAGGAUGUUGAAAGAGGAUGAGGCUUUGACACCUGCCAGCCUUGGACGUGCAGGUUGUAACCUGAACAAAACUGUUUUCCGACCCUGCCUUGAUCAUCACAGAUGUUAAGGUCCAAAGAAGGCCCAGCACCAGGUGGAGGACAGAUGGAGAGCACAGCAGGAAGCCUGGGCCCAGUCAGAGAGACGAGGGGAGCCCCUCCACCUUCCACCCGGUGACUUGUGACGGGAGGAUAGGAGACAGUGGACUUGGUGGUGUUCCUGCUGGUGGCUCCCGGCACUGCAUCCUGCAGCUGGAUGCUCCUCUGUGUCUGAGUUCCCUGUUCUGAGAAUCUGUUGGUGUGAAGUGAGAGUGUCCAGCGAUGAUCGUCCCCUGGUUAAGCUGUGUUAAUUGUGUUCAUGGGACAGAGAAAACCUGUGACGGAAUGAAAUGUACAGAGGUCUGUACCCCGAAAACCCUGGCCUAGUUUUACUCCCCUCUCUGCUCUCUAAAUAUUUCAUGGCACCGUUUCUGUCACUCCAGGGGCCUUCGGGACAGUGGCUACUCCUCACCUUGGCACAUAAAGACCUGCUUUUCCUUCUACAGAGCAGCGCCCUCAUUACCACAUACUCCAGUGUACAAACCAGCUGAGUUCUCUGACACUAGGCACGCUAUUUCAUGGUUCUGGGCGUGUAUAGUCUGGUCAAUAUUAUCAGCUGUCUACUGUGUGCCAGGCGCUGUGCUAAACUAUGACCCCUCCUCAGAGCAUCCUGUUGAAGUCUUGGUUGUUGUCUCCAUACAUGAGAGGACUGAGGUUCAAAGAAAUGAAAUAAUUCGCCUAGGCUCACACAGCUAAGUGACAGAGUUGGGAUGGGAAUGCAGGUUUAACUCCAAAGCCUGACUUUUUCUUGUUAAAAUAUAGAAAAAAUGUAUCACAUAGCCUUUUUAAAGUGUUAUCAUUCUGCAACAUUAAAUACGUUCACUUUGUUAGGCAACUAUCACUACUAUCUAUCUUCAGAAUUUAACUUUUCCCAUCUAAGACUCUGUAUCCAUCAAACACUAACUCCCCAUUUCCCCUCCCUGGAGUCCCUGGAACUACCCCCCUAAUCUUGUCUAUGGAUUUGACUGCUCCGGCUAGCUUGUGUAAGUGCAGUCAACCAAAUUUGUCCUUUUGUGACUGGCUUAUUUUAUUGAACUAUUAGUAUUUUUAUCUUUGAUCACUACCCAGGCCGGCAGCUGGCAGGUAUCUUUACUGUAAAGUUAUUCUCUAUUCUCCUUGUAAAAAUAAAUAUCUUUGAGUCAGUA